CGCGGCCUAUCAGCUUGUUGGUAAGGUAACGGCUCACCAAGGCAUCGACGGGUAGCUGGUCUGAGAGGACGAUCAGCCACACUGGGACUGAGACACGGCCCAGACUCCUACGGGAGGCAGCAGUAGGGAAUCUUGCGCAAUGGGCGAAAGCCUGACGCAGCAACGCCGCGUGGGGGAUGAAGGCCUUCGGGUUGUAAACCCCUUUCAGCAGGGACGAAAAUGACGGUACCUGCAGAAGAAGGUCCGGCCAACUACGUGCCAGCAGCCGCGGUAAUACGUAGGGACCGAGCGUUGUCCGGAAUUAUUGGGCGUAAAGAGCUCGUAGGCGGUUCGGUAAGUCGGGUGUGAAAACUCAAGGCUCAACCUUGAGACGCCACCCGAUACUGCUGUGACUAGAGUCCGGUAGAGGAGUGUGGAAUUCCUGGUGUAGCGGUGAAAUGCGCAGAUAUCAGGAGGAACACCAGCGGCGAAGGCGGCACUCUGGGCCGGUACUGACGCUGAGGAGCGAAAGCAUGGGGAGCAAACAGGAUUAGAUACCCUGGUAGUCCAUGCCGUAAACGUUGGGCACUAGGUAUGGGGUCUUAUCAACGGAUUCCGUGCCGUAGCUAACGCAUUAAGUGCCCCGCCUGGGGAGUACGG
This 639-nucleotide ribosomal RNA is filed under the name uncultured bacterium. RNAcentral describes it as "bacterial SSU rRNA". It matches the Rfam family "Bacterial small subunit ribosomal RNA", at positions 232 to 885 of the family's 1533-position model. The record is from RNAcentral.